Bactrocera oleae (olive fruit fly) is the source of this 8769-nucleotide non-coding RNA. The record is from RefSeq and is a predicted model, not a curated record. NCBI's taxonomy places the organism in Eukaryota, Metazoa, Arthropoda, Insecta, Diptera, Tephritidae.
ACGAACUCGUCCUCAUUUUGUUUUUGCCAGGGAACACGUGUACUAAGUUUCAUUACGAUAUCCUAAUUUUUACUCAAGUUAUCGCUUACGCAGAUGAAAAAUCAUGAAAACUUUCAUUUGAUAAAAGUUAUAUUUUUUUUUUGCAUCGCAGCAAACAUAUUUAUUGCUGCUUCUUCUACCACUUACUUCUUCGAAUAAAUACCUAAUUAUGCACAGUGCAAUAUCAUGAUACGUGAUCGAACCCUUGCGCCGCUUACGUCGCUUUCGUCGACAUGUAUUUCUUGUUACCGUGCGACGGUUGGUAUUGCAGAUGGGCGUGAUCGGACCUCUGCCACGCCCACAAAACGCCAUUAAUCAAAAACAUAUAAAUUACCAUAACUAAGCUCCGCAAUAAGAUAUAAGACUGUUAUUUAGUACACAGGAUCACAUUAGGGAGGGGCAUCUGCAGUUAAAAUUUUUUUUUAAAGUAGGCGUGGUCCCUCCUCUAAUAGGUUUAGUCUGCAUAUCUCCUAAGCCGCUAAUGUUAUAAUAACAAAAUUCACUGGAAGCAAAUUUUUUUAGAACCUCUACCCACAGUGUGAAAAUAGUUGAAAUCGAGUGGCAACUCCGCCCACUCCCCAUAUAAUGGUACUGUUAAAAACUACUAAAAGCGCGAUAAAUCAAGCACUAAACACUCCAGAGACAUUAAAUUUUAUUUCUGGGAUGGUAUGGGAUAUCUUUACGUUAUAGUGCGAAAAUGGGAGAAAUCGAAUUACAACCACACCUAUUAAUUUCUAUUUGAUUCUUUCAUUUUCCAGUAUGCAAAUCAAGCAACAAUGAUUGUAUCGGGGUAAAACUUUGCGGGAAUAAUACGUUUAAAGUAUGCCACCUUGUGACCAAAAAUUCUCUAAAUCGAACCAAAACUGUUCAAGCCCCUAAGUACUAAAUAUGUGGACCCCAGUGCCUAUAGUUGACCUUCUACCGAAAAUAUCAGCCAAUCCACAAAGAAAUCUCAAACGAGUAUACCAUUUGACUUUGCGAGAGUAUAAAAUGUUCGGUUACAUCCGAACUUAGCCCUUCCUUGCUUGUUUUUUAAGAAAAUUGUAUAUAUAUUUUACAAACAUUGUUUUUUGUAAAAAUUAGUAGUAUCAAAUGAAAGAAGACAUCUUCAAUCAUAAUGGUACUGAAUAUAAGCGAUAUCGAUUCGGUCUGUUAAGAAAAAACAAAAACAUUUUCCAAGAUCGUCCAAACAAAUCGCACUUUAGUAGUUUUUAACAGAACCGUUACAUGGUGAGUCGGUGGAGUUAUCAUCCGAUUUCAUCUAUUUUCUCACUGUCGAAGGAAAAGGUUUUUUUUCCGACAUAGGCCUUGUAUUUUAUUGUGGAGCUUACUUAUGGCACUUUAUAGAUUUUCUAUUAAUGGCGUUUUGUGAGCGCGGCAGUGGUCUGAUUGCUGAUUCUACAAUACCAAACUUCUUCUUAAAUCUUAAUUUUUACUUUAGCUAGAGCAAGCACGGACGGGUCACCCGGAUUUCAACUCAUCUCGUCAUGCUGAUCACUUAUAUAUAUGUGCAGUAGUUAGCACAAAUGAGUGCAUGUUUGUUCUUCGUCUAUUUAUUCCUGCAUAAGUGUAGAAGUAGCUAAGAAAAUUAUAAAAGUUUUUUUCCCUUUAAUUGAUGUUCAACUCUAAACAAAAUGGUUAAUAAUACAAAAAAUAAAAUAUGAGACGAAAAAAAACAAAUAAAACUAAAACAAAUCGCAUGUACUCAAAUUGGCUCCUUACAGAAACUUUCAGAAUAUAUCUAAUUUUAUUAUUAGUCCAUAACCCUUUAUUGCACAAAACACUUUGUACACGGAUUAGCAUAUUUUCCACCAAAUUCUGUAUAAUUUCAUUUGGAAUACUAUGUCAUUACCGCUGUAUCCGUUGCCAAAUCUCGUCCACAUUCAUUGGGGUUGAUCGGUAUUGUCCCAACUUUAUUUUCACGAUUGUCCACAAAUUAUCAAUCGGAUUUAGAUCACCUGCAUCAGUAAAAAAUUAUGUUCCGUAGGCCAUUACUUCACGAUUUUGGAUGUAUAUUUUAUUUAUUUCUAUGAAUGCGUUCUUUGGUGUCAAGUGCUUGUUCGUAUUUAUAUUUUUUAUCAUGAGACGUGCGUCUGCAUCUGUCAAAAAUUUUUCUGUGCCCUUAACUUGUGCUUUGGAUUAUCUCGCCUUUUCUGAACGCUUAUGAUCACUCAGUGGCUUAUUUUAGCGAGCUGCUUUAGAAGAGCCUGCUCUUGUCAUGGCUAUUAAACUCUCCUCAAUGCGUGGUGAUAGCUUCCUUCAUUAUUUUGAAGAGCAAUGAAAUUAAUGUAAUAACUGUUAAAAACAAUAUUUUUUAUUUAUUAAAAAGUUCUUACCAGGCGCAAUAAAGCACCAUUUCAGCUAAAUGUUUUAUUUAAGUCGUAAAUAAUUCAAACUUACGACAAACUUUGCUAUUUUUUGUUGAAAGCUUAACGGGUGCAUAAUUGAGUACAUGCGAGUUGUUUUAGUUUUAUUAGUUUUUUUCUUGGAAUCACAUAUUUUAUUUUUUGUAUAAUUAAUCAUUUUGUUUAGAAUUGAACAUCAAUUAAUGUUCAAAAAUGAACAUGUGCGUUGAUGCCAAAGGGCAUCACUUUCAGUAUACAUCAACAAAUUUAGUUUUAUUAUUCUACAUAUUAAGAAUAUAAGAUAAGAUAAGAAACAUGUAAGAAUAAAUACAAGGAAACGGAGAGUUUGUGGUAAUGUUCCCUCAUCUGAUUUUGUGAAAAAAAAUCAUUACAACGAAAGUAUCUUAUCAAUAUGUAACAAACAUUAUUUAAACGCCAUUCAAUUGACAUUAAACUUUGUCUUACUUGGUGUUAGGCAGUUGCAAUGAAUUUGAGUGAUCACGAAGGCUUUUUCUAAUACGCAGCACAUCAGUUUUGCCCAACAUUUUUGUCAUCAAUAUCCAUUUAAAUACCAUUAUUAUUCACCUUUCCGGGAACAAUAACUGAAUUGAAUUGUUUUGAUAUUUCGUUUAAAAAUUGUCAGCUGUUAUCUGUUAAAUCUUUUUUUUUUAUGUUGCAACAUCAAUGAAACUUAGACGGUAAAUAGUUGAAGUUCGUAAUAUCAAAGAAGAGUUGGGUGGACCUGAAGUUGAAUUGCUUCAGCUUCAACUGAUCUGAGUGGAGUUGAAAACCGUAAUAUGUGUUGGUAUAAAUGGAUUUCUUAACCAAUAAUGUGGUUUAGAGCUGAAUAUAAUUGAAAUUGGUCUAGACUGACCAUAGAGGUGACCAUAUUUUUCCCGGCAAAAUCCGGGACGGGUUUUUAGUUAUCGAUUUUUUCCAUAUUAAAAUUCACUGAAAAUUGCGACUAUAAUACUUAUAGGUGAGAGAGCAACACAAUUUUAUUCAAUUCAUUCUUUUUUUUUUUAAUGCCUAAGCCCGGGAUGACUGGUCGCUUAACUCGAAAUCCAGACUGUUCCGGCCAAACCGGGACGAUUGGUCUGCUAAGUCUAGACCUUGCUCUAAACCUCAUAUCCGACUAUACAAUUUGGUCCACUUAUACACAUUAUAUUAAAUUUUGACUUCUUACUUGAGUGUAUAACUUAUAUGUCCCAUUUGAGUUAAUUGAGUUGAUUUUAAUAUACAUAUCCCAACAAAGCAAAAUGUAGUAAUGAAACAAAGUGAGUCUAUGACCUAAAAGAUAAGUUAAUAAUAUACCAAAUAUGUUCAUAAUUCAAUCACAAUUUUGUCGAAUAAUAAAUGUUAAUUUCCUAGGCAACAUUUUCCAAUAUAAAGUUUUGUCAACACCUGAAAGUAUUUUGCAGGCUUUAAUCCUUGAAAUGGCGUGAGUGUAAAAUGUUACACUUUGAACCUAGCCAUUCCUUAUUAUUUUUUUUUAUAUAUUUGAACAAAAUAAAAAUGAACAUAUUAACAAUUUCAUUUAUUUAUUGAUACAUUUUUGUGAAUAUUUGGCUUCUGGAAGUUCUGUUUUUAGGCUCCACCAAUAAUCUGCUAGCAUUGUAUGGAACCCUAGCUACAAAAUCCAUUCUGACAAGUUAGAGUUUGUUCAAAGACAAUUUCAGCUUUUCUUCAAAGUUUUUACCCUUUAUCAAUUUCCGUAUUUGUGGACUUACAAAUAUUCCCUUUUUUAAUUUUUGCCCUGGGUAGUUUAAACUUGGUUGUAAUGCCUUUUGUUUGAGUCAAACAAAAAUAACAAUCAUUUACAUGACCCUUUUGUUUGGUUCAAAUCAUUGGUAUAACAAAUGGCAUGUGUCUGAGUUCUUAUUUAGCCCAAACUAAUAGCAGUCUCACACAGGAUACACAACAUUUAUGUGGAACCCAGGAUUUAUCUUGAUUCCUCACUGGAAAUUUAAAGUAGCCUAAACAGCACUGUUCACUGACGCGAAAUUACGACGCUGAGAUUUAAAAGUAAACUCUGCACACACAUAACAAAAAAUGUCAGGGUCGUUAGAACACUUUCGUGGCAUGUUUACGAUGUUUGCGAUGAGCAGUUUAGUAUUUAGAUCAGAUUUAGGAUUAAUGCGACGGUAUAGUAAUCUAUACUAAUAUUAUAAAUGCGAAAGUCCGUUUGUUUGUUAAGCUUUCACGCAAAAACUACUUAACAGAUCAUCAUGAAAGUUUGUACAUAUGCUCUUAGAGGUGUCAGAAUGAACAUAGGAUAUUUUUUAUUACAAAAUUUAUAAAUUUUUUACGGAUUAUUAAAAAAAAUUAUUUUGGAGGAUGUAUGUUUGGAAAAUAAAUUUGAAAAUUUUGAAAUUGAAAAAAAAAAGUUUGGCAGAAAUGAUUGUUUGUCGAAAAAAUUAAAAAUGAAAGAAAACUAAAAUAAAUGAAAAUGAAAGAAAAAAAAAUAAUGGUAUUGGUUUUCAAUAUGAUCCUUUAGUUGAGUAUUCUAAUUUUAUUUUAUUUAAUUAAUUGUUAUUGGCUCAAUGGAUAAAAAAUGUCAGUAUUGUGAUGCUUUUAAAUGGAAAGAUGAAACUGCUGGAAUGUGUUGCAGCACUGUGUCACAGAUGAGUCAAAACGAUUUCUAAGUAAAAUAAGGAAGUAUAAUUCUUGCUUUAAAAUGACAUAUUUCGGAGUUGAUAAAGUGAUAAGAACGCCUGGAUUUUCACCAACCUUUACUGUACAAGGACAAAUAUAUCAUCAAAUUGGAUCACUAUUUCCAGGAAAUAAUGAUCAGCAUAAAUUUUUGGAGGUGUAUUUUAUGGGUGAUGAACAAAAUGAAGUAAAUCGUCGUUGCCAGUAUAUAGAUGGAGUAGAAAGAGAAAUAUAUAUAUAACAUGAUAAUGCGUUAAAGCGCGUAGCUGAUACUCAUACAUUUUAUGACGCUUUGCAGUAUCCAUUAAUUUUCAGUAAAGGUGAAUCAGGAUAUCAUUUCAAUAUUUCAGUCAUCAAGCCGACAACGAACGAGCCAAUUCCAAAUAAAAAAGUAAAAUACUUAUUUGAUGGAUUCGAUGCGAGCGAAGCCGCGGGUAAAAGCUAGUAAUAUAUAAACGUGUUGUUUAUAAAUUCAUUUUGUAUCAAGAAUAACGGCGAGAUUUUAUAUUUUACUUUUUCAUUUCAAGGUACAGUAACAUAGCUCUGGGGCAAGAAACAUGCUUUGAGUUUUCUACUAAAAAAAUGGUUUGUAAUUUAGUGAUUAUAUUAGGGGUAGUAAAAAGAAAUCCAUUAUUUUUCCAAUAGAUAGCGUUAUUUAUCUGUAUCUCGCGUUGUAUGAGACCGAUCGGGUUCCGCUAGUUGAUUCAGUUUGGUUUGAGUACGCGUCAAAGAUGGUUACUUGCAAAGAGAAAAUACGCUAUAUAUUACAGUUUUUCUUCGAUAAGGGCCAAAACACAAACCAGGUGGCUGAAAAUGUAAAUAGCGUUUAUGGCCUGAUACUGUAACAGCUAAUCACGCGCAAUUUUGGUUUCGUCGAUUCCGUUCCGGUAAUUUCGAUGUCAAAGAUGCACCACGCACCAGAAGAGCAAUUGUCGAUAAAAUCGGGGACAUUAUCGAGUCUGUCCGUCAUGUAAGCACUGAUUCGAUUGCCCAAGAUUGCACAAAACACCGUUUGGAACCAUUUGAAUAAGGCUGGAUAAGAAAAGAAGUUCGAUGUAUGGGUGUUACACAAGUUAACGCAAAAAAAUCUCAUGGACCGAAUUUCCAUCUGCGAAUCGCUGCUGAAUCGCAAGAAAAUCGACCAACUCGGAACUGUACUGUCAACAAUUGGACCGUCAGAAGGAAGCAAUCGCCCAGGAGCGGCCAGCUUUGGCCAAGAGGAGAGGAAUUGUGUUCCAAGGAACACCGCCAGGCCACACACACCGAUAGUGACUCGCCAGAAACUCCGGAACCUUGUUUGGGAGGUUCUUAUACGUCCACCUUAUAGUUCGGACCUGGCACCAAGUGAUUACCUACUGUUCCUGUCCAUGGCGAACAAUUUCGCUGAUGAAGAAUUCGCUUCAAGAGAGGCUUGUGGAAAUCGAGUGUCUCAAUUUUGCCAAUAGGAACGAAGGCUUCUAUGAGAGAAGCAUAAUGAAAUUACCCUUAAAAUGGCAACAAGUUAUCGAACAAAUCGGAGCAUAUUUGGCCCAAAUCGGAUCAUUCUACCUUUGGUAAUUAAAGCCUUCAAUUUCACGCAAAAAUAAUGGAUUUCUUUUUACUAUACCUUAUAUAAUAUAUACAGGAAGUUCCCCAGAACUUAAAAAAGCAGUACCAUCUGCAAAUAUUGAUUCAGCUGUGAUUUCGAGCACUGGUUACUACUAAUAUUUAUGAACUGGGAAACUACGAUUAAAGUAAACUUAUGGGACAGUAAAAACAAGGGUCUUCUCUUGACUUAUCAGGCUUUUUUAUUGCCAUGGUUUUAGCCUUUUUUCAUGCUUCAGGGAAGUAACUCAACUGUAACAACUGUCAAUGUCAGGAGACUUUUAUAGAUUUUAUGUUCUUUAGAAUUAUAAUAUUUUUUUCAGAGCUGAUAUAAAAACUAUCGGAAGACAGAGGACUGUUGUGUUAAGUGACGAGAAAAAAUGAGCAGAUGCAGUGUGAUUCAUAUUAAAAAUUUGACUAAGAAUCGCACAUUUUUCAUUAGCAGUACUGUUACAGAUUAUAUUAUCUUUUAACGUUGGAAUGUAUGAAUAUUUCUUCUAACUAUAAAACUUUUGUUAUGUUCCAAAAGGGUUAAGACAUCUUAUUUUGUAAUGCUUAAAUCUCUUGUAGUUUUUUUAACUCGAUUUAAGUUGGAGAUCAUUAACUUUAUACGGACUACAAAUAGAUUUUAGUUCGACUUUUGGUAAAAUUUUAAAGAUAUAUCUUGAGUAUUUUGUCCAGUUUGCGUUUUUGUAGUCGAACUUGAAAAAAUUUUAGUUGUAGACUCGACGAUUGAAGAUAACCGAUACCGGUAAAUGAUCAAAAUUGAGCUCGUGUUGGACAAUACUGGCGCAUAGUUUGUAAAUGUCUAGCGUUGAGCUUUGUUGUCCUCUGUCAGCAAGUAUACGGAUGUGAUCACAAGAUAAAACAAUAUGAAAAUUGUAUGGAACCAUUUUUCGUGUAAUAGAUCUCUUCAGCAAUUGGAUGUAAUACAACCCCAAAGAGGAUUUCUACAAUCACCACCAAUAAUAUAUUUGUUGCCUCUACUCGCUCAUAAAUGUCAGUGGAAAGCUGUUGCCUCUUGUUGUUGGUUCUACCUGCAUGAUUUCUGGGGGUAACAACAAAAAAUGUCAGUGUAAUCGCUAGCUGAAUUUGAAAUUUGAAUGCCGAUGUUUUCAAUAAGCGUAUUGUUAGAUGGAAGGAGCAUGUCACCCCUGGCGUUCCUUGUGACUAUUAGUUAUAACAUCGAAUUGGUCGGCCCUCGAUUUGCGGUUAAUUAAAUUUUUAAUUAACUCGAAAGUUAGUUCUUCCUGUGUUAAUUUCCUGAAUGGAAAACAUGUUAUUAACUUGUGUUUUGGCUGGCAUUAUUGAACUCUGCUUGGACAGUCGUGGAAAGACGCUUUAUGCGCACCGUUGCAAUUAGCACAUUUAAUACUUUGCACAAUACAAUCUGUUGUUUUUUGGCUACCGGUUAGCACAAAAUGUUUUAACCACGCAGCGACUGGCACCAUGUCCGAACAUCUGACAGUUAAAACACUAAGUAAUUUUGUUGCUGUUUCUCCUUUGAAAUUUCCAUUUUAUUUUCACAUAAUCGAUGAUGGAAAAGGUUUUUAUUAAUUCUUUCAUCGAUAUCGAUUGUCUGGCAAAAUAGACCACAGAAAAAGUCAGUAUCUGUUAUUUGGUCUUCGAUUUUUAACUAGCUUAACAUCAGGGGGAGAAACCAGUUUAGAUGAUUCCAAAAAAACGAUUUUUUUAUUGCAUAAAUUGUUAGUACAACUAUGUUGCUUAGGUUUCAAAACGAAAUUUCAAUUAGUUCUGAUGAUAUGAGCACUAAGGUGGUAAACAUGCGUUUUUCUCGAAACGAAUUUUUUUCAACUUGCGGGAAUCCUUGCUCGAAAAGUUAUUGACGAAUCGAUCGAUGAAGAUUUGUGUGAAUAUCCUUUAUUCAAGUCCUAAAAAUAUGAACCAAACUCUGGAAUGAUACUAUUAUUGGUUCAUAUUCUUAGAAAAUAUGUUACUAACGAAAGAAAAAAAAUUAAUGAUUUCAGAUCAAAACUGUGACCUCCAGUUGUCCCGACAGCAGUCAACUCUGAUGGCGAUCGUCAAUGGACACCAUCCCUUAUCCCCACCACUUCCGACGGAAAUGGCAUCGAAAAAGUUCAAAGUGUAGUUCAAAAUAGGAAUAAACUACCCUACAAGUUUAAACGAA